GUGCACAUUUCACUGGCCCGCUUUCUUCUGUUUGUGUGAGCAGUGUUAUUUCUUCUGUGCUAUACAAAUAGAUGAAGGUUUAAUUAGCAGUGUAACUAAAUAAUCAUGCUGCUAGUGUCCUUCAGACAGUU
Small nucleolar RNA from Erinaceus europaeus (western European hedgehog), 131 nucleotides. The record is from Ensembl. NCBI's taxonomy places the organism in Eukaryota, Metazoa, Chordata, Mammalia, Eulipotyphla, Erinaceidae.